Molecule: ribosomal RNA, 207 nt
Filed under: uncultured bacterium
Lineage: Bacteria
Description: partial 16S ribosomal RNA
Rfam family: Bacterial small subunit ribosomal RNA
Source: RNAcentral
CGUGUAGGCGGUUGGGUAAGUCAGAUGUGAAAGCCCUGGGCUCAACCCAGGAAGUGCAUUUGAAACUAUUCAACUUGAGUACGGGAGAGGAAGGGGGAAUUCCCGGUGUAGAGGUGAAAUUCGUAGAUAUCGGGAGGAAUACCGGUGGCGAAGGCGCCCUUCUGGACUGAUACUGACGCUGAGACGCGAAAGCGUGGGGAGCAAACA